Molecule: unclassified non-coding RNA, 294 nt
Filed under: fungal sp.
Lineage: Eukaryota; Fungi
Description: partial internal transcribed spacer region
Rfam family: Eukaryotic small subunit ribosomal RNA (bases 1-46)
Source: RNAcentral
AAGUCGUAACAAGGUUUCCGUAGGUGAACCUGCGGAAGGAUCAUUAAUGAAUGAUAAUUUUUUGGGGUUUUCCCUGAAAAAUAAUUCACCUUUUGUGCAUUGUUAUUAGAUAUACUUUGGUUAGAGCUUUGAUUUCAUUUAUUGGAAUCAACUUCUUGCUGACUCUAUCCUAUUGUAUGGGACAGUUGGCUAUGAAGCGGCCUACCAAGGUUUUUUUAUCAAACUCUUGUAUUUUGUCUGACCUAAAAACAAAUAAUUAAAUCAUAACUUUCAACAACGGAUCUCUUGGCUCUC